GGGGCUGAUCGGUUUCGACUGCGUACGUCGAUUCAGGGGAAGCGUGUCGGUGCAGGCAGGAGACCACCGUAAGCGUCGCUGUAACCCAAUAAGCGCCGAUUCUCAUCAGCGCGACUACGCUCUCGCUGCCUAAGCAGUAGAGCGUGUCUGUCAGUCCGGGUUUGCUCUCGGCCCGGGUACUGGCAUCAGCUAGAGAGCUCUACCGUGCGGCUCGGUCGCGGAGUCGUACGGGACAUCGAACAGCGACUGGGAUCGUCAUCUCGGCUUGUUCGCGUGACCGAGAGAUCCGAGUAGAGGCUCAGCGAACUGCACACGGAGAAGCCCUGAAGAAGCGGCGGAGGACCCGGGUUCAAUUCCCGGCAGCUCCACCA
Molecule: non-coding RNA, 371 nt
Organism: Mycobacterium sp. 852002-51759_SCH5129042
Lineage: Bacteria; Bacillati; Actinomycetota; Actinomycetes; Mycobacteriales; Mycobacteriaceae
Source: Rfam